ACGGCUCAGUAACACGUCGAUAAUCUGCCCUUAGGUCUGGGAUAACAUCGAGAAAUUGAUGCUAAACCCGGAUAGGAAAAAGGUACUGGAAUGUCCUUUUUUUUAAAAGCAAUGCCUAAGGAUGAGUCGGCGGCUGAUUAGGUAGUUGGUGAGGUAAUGGCUCACCAAGCCUAGGAUCAGUAGGGGGGAUGAGAGUCCUAGCCCCGAGAAGGGCACUGAGAUACUGGCCCUAGCCCUAAGGGGUGCAGCAGGCACGAAAACUUUGCAAUGCACGAAAGUGUGACAAGGGGAUCCCAAGUGCUUUGUCUUCGGAUAAAGCUUUUGUUAAGUCUAAAUAGCUUGACGAAUAAGUGGUGGGCAAGACGGGUGCCAGCCGCCGCGGUAACACCUGCGCCACAAGUGGCGAUCACAUUUAUUGGGUCUAAAGCGUUCGUAGCCGGUUUGGUAAAUCUCUUGUGAAAUUGUUUGGCUUAACCUCACAAAUGGCUUGAGAAACUGCCAAACUAGAGACUGGGAGGAGGUAGAGGUAUUCUAGGGGUAGCGGUAAAUGUUAUAAUCCCUGGAGGACCACCAGUGUUGAAGACGUCUACCUAGAACAGAUCUGACGGUGAGGAACGAAGGCCAGGGGAGCAAAACGGAUUAGAUACCCGAGUAGUCCUGGCAGUAAACUCUGUGAGCUAUGUGUUGCAUAAUCUUAGAGGUCAUGCAGUGCCUAAGCGAAGGCGUUAAGCUCACCACCUGGGAAGUAUAGUCGCAAGACCGAAACUUAAAGGAAUUGGCGGGGGAGCAC
Molecule: ribosomal RNA, 790 nt
Filed under: uncultured archaeon
Lineage: Archaea
Description: bacterial SSU rRNA
Rfam family: Archaeal small subunit ribosomal RNA
Source: RNAcentral